Musa acuminata AAA Group (dessert banana) is the source of this 1516-nucleotide RNA transcript. It is a transcript of the gene named probable purine permease 11, with no coding region annotated. NCBI's taxonomy places the organism in Eukaryota, Viridiplantae, Streptophyta, Magnoliopsida, Zingiberales, Musaceae. The transcript has 3 exons. The record is from RefSeq and is a predicted model, not a curated record.
GAAGUCGUAUGUUAAUAGAGAUUAGAGAGGCUCAGGAGAGAUCAGAUCGGAUCGGAUGGUAGGGUGGUUCUGUUGAACGAGGAUGAGGAAUAUAUAGAACUCCACCCGGCCCAAAAUCCCUUCUCUUCGCUUUUCUCCGACUCCUCGAGCAUGGACGAACUCGACAAGAUGGAGCUUCACAUGCCAGGGCCUUCAAAAUCAGCAACUGAAGCUGAUCGAGCACCACCACCAUCGUCAAGGUUGAGAAGCUGGCAAUGGUGGCUCAUAGUGGCCCUUAACAUCUUCUUCCUUCUUGCUGGUCAAACUGCUGCCACUCUUCUGGGGAGGUUUUAUUAUGACCAAGGCGGCAACAGCAAGUGGAUGGCCACACUUGUCCAAACUGCAGGCUUUCCGAUCCUCUAUCUUCCUCUACUCCUUUUUCCUUCUACCCACCCUCCCCCCGCUACUGCUAUCAUCCCUCACCCUUCACAUGCUAAGAUUGCCGUAGUAUAUGUUAUUCUGGGCCUUAUCAUAGCUGCUGACAACUUAAUGUAUUCCUAUGGUCUCCUGUACCUUCCUGUGUCAACAUACUCCCUCGUUUGUGCCACUCAACUUGCCUUCAAUGCUGUCUUCUCCUACUAUCUGAAUUCUCAAAAAUUCACUGCUUUUAUAAUGAAUUCUGUUGUUCUCUUGACAUUCUCUGCUGCCCUACUUGGUUUUAAUGAAAAUUCAGAGAGCUCGGCAGAUGUUUCCAAGGGGAAGUAUGCAAUCGGUUUCAUAUUGACAUUAGGAGCAUCAGCCACAUACUCGCUCAUCCUCUCUCUAAUGCAGCUCACCUUUCAAAAGGUUAUUCGGAAGGAGACUUUCUCAGCUGUGCUGGAAAUGCAGAUUUACACAGCAUUUGUAGCCUCUUGUGCUGCUGUUGUUGGCUUAUUGGCAAGUGGGGAGUGGAAGGAUCUGAAGAGUGAGAUGGAGGCAUAUGGAAAGGGGACAGUGUCAUAUGUGAUGACUCUGGUUUGGACUGGUCUGUCCUGGCAGGUAGCCUCAGUCGGAGUUGUGGGCCUCAUCUUUGUGGUGUCUUCUCUGUUCUCCAACGUGAUAAGCACGUUAGCACUGCCUGUUGUGCCCGUAUUUGCUGUGAUCUUCUUUCAUGACAAGAUGAAUGGUGUCAAGAUUGUUGCUAUGCUAAUUGCAAUUUGGGGUUUUGCUUCUUACCUCUACCAGCACUAUCUUGAUGACUCGAAAGCUAAGAAGACUGUAGGUCAUCCCGAGUAUGUCCCUGCUCAUGGGUCUUGACAGUUGUUGCUCAGGGUUUAAUCUGAAUAACUUGAAGGCUUGGACCUUAGUAUAGCUAGAGCUGUAUCGUAUGAUGGGCUUCAUCUAAAUAUUUCUCUCUAAAAGCGUGUAAAAAUACGACAAGUGGAGGGCGUAAAGCCGUCAACGGAACAUGUCGUGUUCCGCCAGCCUUCCCGACCGGUCGGGGAACAGCAACGGCCCUCCGGUCGUCGCCCGCCGGUGGUGGUACGGGCCAAGCGCC